UCCGCCGUCAUCCGCCUAUCAUGGUGGAGGC
RNAcentral lists this small RNA (31 nucleotides) under Bombyx mori (domestic silkworm). RNAcentral describes it as "ovarian small RNA-27527". The record is from RNAcentral. Lineage: Eukaryota; Metazoa; Arthropoda; Insecta; Lepidoptera; Bombycidae.